This 440-nucleotide ribosomal RNA is filed under the name uncultured bacterium. Its description in RNAcentral is "partial 16S ribosomal RNA". It matches the Rfam family "Bacterial small subunit ribosomal RNA", at positions 338 to 795 of the family's 1533-position model. The record is from RNAcentral.
CCUACGGGAGGCUGCAGUGGGGAAUAUUGCACAAUGGAGGAAACCCUGAUGCAGCGACGCCGCGUGAGGGAAGAAGGAUCUCGGUACGUAAAACUCUAUCAGCAGGGAAGAAAAUGACGGUACCUGACUAAGAAUCCCCGGCUAACUACGUGCCAGCAGCCGCGGUAAUACGGAGGGUGCAAGCGUUAUCCGGAUUUACUGGGUGUAAAGGGGGCGUAGACGGCAGGACAAGUCUGGAGUGAAAUCCCGGGGCUUAACCCCGGAACUGCUUUGGAAACUGUGCGGCUGGAGUGCAGGAGGGGUAAGCGGAAUGUCUGGUGUAGCGGUGAAAUGCGUAGAGAUUAGGAGGAACACCGGUGGCGAAGGCGGCUUACUGGACUAUAACUGACGUUGAGGCUCGAAAGCGUGGGGAGCAAACAGGAUUAGAUACCCGAGUAGUC